AUGUACAGUGAAAUGACAAACAUAAAUGUAGCAUACGUGGCUUUGACAGACAGUCCUCUGAAUGGAAUGCCAGAAAGAAACUGUUACUACCAUGUUUGUCCAACAGAGAUGAAGGGUGUCCAACCUCAGCACGAGGACUCUCAGGAGUUUCCCCUGGAUUUUCAGGACACAUUUGGCUUCCUUGACCUGAUAGACAGCAGCAACUUCAACCAGAUCAAUGAGUUUUCUGUGGAACCUCCAUGUUAUGACAUGGAAGAAGAGGAAGAAUCAGCAGAGCAAGAGGCAGAAGAAAAAAAGAUGAGCUUCUCCCAUCAACAGUGGGAACAGUCCUCUCCAGGGGUGGAGGAUGUGGCGCUCAUGGCCGACACAAAUGCACAGUCGUCACAGAUACUCUCCCCAAAGACCUUUGACCUGCACAACAAGGCUUGCAAAUCACACAGUUUGCCAUACAAGUCAGCCUUGCACAACCCUCAUACCGACUUCUCUGAUGACGAUGUUGAUGAGGAAGAUGACCAGGAUGAGGAUGACAGUGACGAUGAGGAAGAUGCACUGUACUAUAGCUUACCUGCUGGAAUACAAUUAAGCGUAAUGAAAGAGAGCGAGGCGGACACACGUUCAGAUGGUGAGUUUGCCACAGAUCCAAAUGAGUGCAUUUCAUAUGACUCAGGUCACCAACCAGGGGCAGCACAACAGGGGGGUGGAACCAAUCUCGACAUUAGCACUGAGUACUUGGCAGAGGAAGAGUUGAAGGACAGCAUGUCAGAAUUUCAAGACUACAACCAACUUGUCCACACAGAGGCACCUGGGACAACACAGGUUGAUAAUGAGGGCAAAGAGGAGAGUGCUCUGUUCCAGGCAUUGAAAUCGGAACAGAAUGAAGCCGAGGAAUGCACAAACAAGGGCAGCGGAGAGAGCUGGUACACAGCAGAUCCAGAACAUGCUUCCAAAAACAGCAACGGACAUGAUCAAUGGGUGCGUAUGAACAACGAGGAAGAGAAGGAUUGCGCUGAUGCUCCCUCUUGCAGUUCCACCAACAGGGAAGACCACACAGCUGCCCCAAGGCACGGAGAAGGAAAUGAUCCACAGACAAAUUUGGUACAAACUGACCCAGAGUCAGAGGUUAAAAGUGAAAGAGACUUUUCAGAAGGUCAUCAUGGUGAGCAAAUAUGUGCAGACACCUGUAGUGCUGACUCAGUAUGUGGGACUAAUCUGGGAGGAGAAGCUGUCAGCUCAGGUGUUACUCUACCUGAUUCUCCAUGGGAACCAGACGAAUCUCAUUUAGUUAAUUACAGUCCUCCAGUAUGUUUACUGAAUCCUUGUGAGAUAAACCCAGACAAUGAUGGGUUGGCCAAUGACAGUGAAGAUGUUGAAGCUGUGGUUUCUAUGAUGGAGGGGUCAGUAUUCUCCUCGAGAAACUCUGAGGAACUCUCUGAAAUAUGCACUGAGAGGGGAGAACAAGGAGAAAACACAGCAAACAGGGACACGGCAGGAGAACAAAUGUCUGACCAGCAAACUGAGGAUAGUGUGCAGCAGGAAGAGGACAACGAAGAACACAGGCCCGUAGAUCCCUCUGUGUGCAAAGACAUGGAUGUAUCAGGAACAAGAGAAGCAGAUGGAAUACCAGAAGAAUCUAAGACAGAAGAACCUAGUUCAGAAGAGUCUCCGAUCGAGGGAAGUAUGAGUGACAUGAAUAAAGAAGAGGUUGAGAAGGAAUUGAAGGGAGAGCAUGAGCUGGACAAAGGCCCAAUAAGAAGCAAGCAUGCAGAGAGGAUUGACACACACAUUCUACAACAGGAUGAGAGUAGUGAGGAGGGUGCGUCUGACAAGGUGGAGUUGAAUGAGGAUGGGGACGAAAAUGAAGGAAAUGAGCUGGGGAUGGGGACAGGGUUAGGAAGAACGACACCAAGCCAGCCCAAAGUGCAGCACGUAAAGCCUGUGCCUGUAGUGCCACCCAAAACGGAGCUCUCUAAACUGGCAGCCCUGAACCUCCGUCAGCAACUGCAACAGAGAGGGACGGAAAGGGGAAAAGAGGGAGAAUGGCACAAGGACCGGGACAAAGAGGGACAGGAUGAUGGAGACAGGGAGAGAGUGGAGGGGGAGAAGGAGGGUGACAAAGAGAAAAAUAGGAACAGUGCCAUCAGCAUGUGUUUUGAUGAGGCUGUUGCCAGGGCAACUGAGAGAAGAGAGAGAGAGAAGGAAGAGAGAGAGCAGGAGAGAGAGAAAGAAAGAGGCACAGAUGAACAAGUAAAGCAAAGAGGAAAUGACAGUAGAGAGAAGAACAGAGAAUAGAAAGCAUCAGGGGAAGAAAAAAAGACAAAAGAUUUGAAGAGAUGUGUUUCAGGUGCAUUGGUGUCUCUAAAUUACCCCUAGUGUCCCCUAGAGUGAAUGAGUUCAUGUGAUUGCUCUGAGAAGGGCUGGUGUCCCAUCCAGGGUGUACUCUGCCUCACACCUUGUGUUUACUGGAAUAGGGUCUGCACCAUCGCGGCCGUACGCUGGACAACUGAUCAACGAGAGAGAGAAUAUACCCAUAUCGUAUGCUGCAAAGCUUAAAUUAAAAAAAAGUGUAGCGGGAUGGAAUACACACAAGAAUGUACUUUAUCAAACUGCAACGCUUGUUAUUCUUGCCAAUUUCAAGUCAUAAAAGAUAAAGCACAAAAAAAUGCAUUGAAAGUUUUACACUUUCCACCCUUACAAUUUCUCUCAUUUGUGAGAAAUACUGCUCUGUCGAUAAUGUCAAAAAGACAUAACUGUUUGCAAAAAGUGUGUUUUUGCUUUUUGAAAACUGUAUUAUGAUAAUACAGUGCAGUUAUGUCACUCCAUUAAUAUAGGGAUUUCAAAGUGCUUUACAGAGGCAAUAAACGAAAUAGUGCGCAGUGAAGCGCA
This is a long non-coding RNA of Scleropages formosus (Asian bonytongue), 2883 nucleotides long. NCBI's taxonomy places the organism in Eukaryota, Metazoa, Chordata, Actinopteri, Osteoglossiformes, Osteoglossidae. The record is from Ensembl.